This 857-nucleotide ribosomal RNA is filed under the name Paraburkholderia sp. Its description in RNAcentral is "bacterial SSU rRNA". It matches the Rfam family "Bacterial small subunit ribosomal RNA", at positions 19 to 873 of the family's 1533-position model. The record is from RNAcentral. Lineage: Bacteria; Pseudomonadati; Pseudomonadota; Betaproteobacteria; Burkholderiales; Burkholderiaceae.
CCCGGUCAGAUUGAACGCUGGCGGCAUGCCUUACACAUGCAAGUCGAACGGCAGCACGGGGGCAAUCCUGGUGGCGAGUGGCGAACGGGUGAGUAAUACAUCGGAACGUGUCCUGUAGUGGGGGAUAGCCCGGCGAAAGCCGGAUUAAUACCGCAUACGCUCUACGGAGGAAAGGGGGGGAUCUUAGGACCUCCCGCUACAGGGGCGGCCGAUGGCAGAUUAGCUAGUUGGUGGGGUAAAGGCCUACCAAGGCGACGAUCUGUAGCUGGUCUGAGAGGACGACCAGCCACACUGGGACUGAGACACGGCCCAGACUCCUACGGGAGGCAGCAGUGGGGAAUUUUGGACAAUGGGGGAAACCCUGAUCCAGCAAUGCCGCGUGUGUGAAGAAGGCCUUCGGGUUGUAAAGCACUUUUGUCCGGAAAGAAAACCUCUGGGUUAAUACCCCGGGGGGAUGACGGUACCGGAAGAAUAAGCACCGGCUAACUACGUGCCAGCAGCCGCGGUAAUACGUAGGGUGCAAGCGUUAAUCGGAAUUACUGGGCGUAAAGCGUGCGCAGGCGGUCCGCUAAGACAGAUGUGAAAUCCCCGGGCUUAACCUGGGAACUGCAUUUGUGACUGGCGGGCUAGAGUAUGGCAGAGGGGGGUAGAAUUCCACGUGUAGCAGUGAAAUGCGUAGAGAUGUGGAGGAAUACCGAUGGCGAAGGCAGCCCCCUGGGCCAAUACUGACGCUCAUGCACGAAAGCGUGGGGAGCAAACAGGAUUAGAUACCCUGGUAGUCCACGCCCUAAACGAUGUCAACUAGUUGUCGGGUCUUCAUUGACUUGGUAACGUAGCUAACGCGUGAAGUGACCGUC